Molecule: ribosomal RNA, 460 nt
Filed under: uncultured bacterium
Lineage: Bacteria
Description: partial 16S ribosomal RNA
Rfam family: Bacterial small subunit ribosomal RNA
Source: RNAcentral
CCUACGGGAGGCAGCAGUGAGGAAUAUUGGUCAAUGGACGAGAGUCUGAACCAGCCAAGUAGCGUGAAGGAUGACUGCCCUAUGGGUUGUAAACUUCUUUUAUAAAGGAAUAAAACGAGGCACGUGUGCCUUUUUGCAUGUACUUUAUGAAUAAGGAUCGGCUAACUCCGUGCCAGCAGCCGCGGUAAUACGGAGGAUCCGAGCGUUAUCCGGAUUUAUUGGGUUUAAAGGGAGCGUAGAUGGGUUGUUAAGUCAGUUGUGAAAGUUUGCGGCUCAACCGUAAAAUUGCAAUUGAUACUGGCAGUCUUGAGUACAGGUGAGGUAGGCGGAAUUCGUGGUGUAGCGGUGAAAUGCUUAGAUAUCACGAAGAACCCCGAUUGCGAAGGCAGCUUACUAAACUGUGACUGACAUUGAUGCUCGAAAGUGUGGGUAUCGAACAGGAUUAGAUACCCUUGUAGUC